Molecule: ribozyme, 70 nt
Filed under: unclassified sequences
Description: HDV ribozyme from F. prausnitzii
Rfam family: HDV ribozyme from F. prausnitzii
Source: RNAcentral
GCCUUCUAAAAAGGUACAGCCUCCACGCGGCAGAGGGUGGGCAACGGCCUGCGGGUCGGCAAAUGUAUCG